AGCGAACGCUGGCGGCAGGCCUAACACAUGCAAGUCGAACGGAUCCUUCGGGAUUAGUGGCGGACGGGUGCGUAACACGUGGGAACGUGCCCUUUGGUUCGGAACAACUCAGGGAAACUUGAGCUAAUACCGGAUGUGCCCUUCGGGGGAAAGAUUUAUCGCCAUUGGAGCGGCCCGCGUCUGAUUAGCUAGUUGGUGAGGUAACGGCCCACCAAGGCGACGAUCAGUAGCUGGUCUGAGAGGAUGAUCAGCCACACUGGGACUGAGACACGGCCCAGACUCCUACGGGAGGCAGCAGUGGGGAAUCUUGCGCAAUGGGCGAAAGCCUGACGCAGCCAUGCCGCGUGAAUGAUGAAGGUCUUAGGAUUGUAAAAUUCUUUCAGCGGGGACGAUAAUGACGGUACCCGCAGAAGAAGCGCCGGCUAACUUCGUG
This 433-nucleotide ribosomal RNA is filed under the name uncultured bacterium. RNAcentral describes it as "partial 16S ribosomal RNA". It matches the Rfam family "Bacterial small subunit ribosomal RNA", at positions 29 to 507 of the family's 1533-position model. The record is from RNAcentral.